This 204-nucleotide long non-coding RNA is filed under the name Citrus sinensis (sweet orange). Its description in RNAcentral is "long non-coding RNA (CSIN_LNC000601)". The record is from RNAcentral. Lineage: Eukaryota; Viridiplantae; Streptophyta; Magnoliopsida; Sapindales; Rutaceae.
AUGCAUACAUGAAUUAAAUUUAGAUUUUAAAUAUCCCUCAUGUGACAUGUGCAAUGGGAAAUUCUCAUGCUAUGCGCUCAGAAGUCAGAAUGCUUCUUAUUUGGUAAAAGUAGAUGAGGAAUUUGGUGGCUUUUCUCUUUCACAAUAAUGUAAUCCAAUAUUAUUAAAAGCUUUCCGACAACUCCGUGAGAUUUUUUGUCUACC